UUAAUUUACAUGGCCCAAAGAAUUAAAUUUUAAGUCCAAUAUAUUAUUUAUUGAUAGCCCAAAAGAUGGAAAUGGUGACCCAAAUUUAAGCCCAAUUAAGGAGGGACAUAUUGGACAUUUGGUAUGCUAAAUAGGAAAUAAAAAAAAAAAGAAAAAGAAAUCAAAUAUUAAUGUGGAAAUGUCCAUUUUUACCCUUUUUGUCCCAUUUUGAUGAAUAAUUGCUAAAGAAUCCUAUGUUAUCUUACAAAUCUAGCAAAUUAUUGAAGGGGGAAUAAUUAUAACCUAGCAUGUGACUUAUAGCUCAAUUAUCAAUCAUCUAGAAUUUACUAGAUUCCUUGAAUUAUAACUUAUAUAGAUUAAAAGUGAGAAAAGCCUCACUUUAAUUAUCAAACUUGUCCAAGACUUAGAGAGGGAGAAAGAGAGAAAGAGAGAAGGGAGGAAUGGCAUUAUGAGAGAGUGAGAAGAGAUACCAUUCGGCAGCUCCAAGAGGAGAAGGAGAAGAAAAGACUUUGAUCUUCAUACACCUCAAGAUCCAUCUCAUAUCUUUGAAGAAGAAAGAAAAUCAAGCAAAGGUAUAAACCCUUUUUGUUUAUGUAAUUUUUGAUGGUUGUAAAUCAAACCUUGAAUCCAUAGUUCUACACUCAAAAACCUUAGAUAUAUGUGUUUAGUAGUUAACCUAAGUGGUAGAACUCAAAAAUCACGUUUCUAAAAGUCGUGGUGUUGAUUUAUGUGAAAACAGUCCCGUUUCUAGGAACUGUUUUGGAUCAGUCCGUAGCAGGGGCAUUUUCGUCCCCUUUUUGUGCUUUAUAAAUUCUGGAAAAAUUUGGGGUGUUAAUAUCAGUAGAUAUGCAGGUUGUGUAAAAAUUUGAGAAUUUUUGGCCAUACGGUUUGAGAGAUAUGGAUUUUACGGUGAAGGACCCCAAAACUGUUUUUUUUGGCCAAAACGUUGCUGCCACAAAAAGGAAAUUUCGGGGUUAGCUAGCCUGCUCUAAAAAUUCUGGGCUUUUGGUAUGUUAUAGUACACUCAAUAAGCUUUCCAUAGACUCCAAAACGGACUAAAUCCGACAUCGGAGGAGAGAGUUAUGAAAUUUCUCCCAAACUACUCAAAGGUAAGAAAAACUGUUAGAGCAACAGUUUUUAGCAGCCACUUCCGGGCUAAAUUCCGAGAGCUUAACAUGUCCAAAUAUGGAUUGUGAUAGAUGAAAACUGUAGUUCGGAAAGUUACGAAUCCAACAAAAUUGACGGAUCGUUAAUCGGAGUUACAGAUCUCGUUUUAUAUAAGUUUUAGCAAAGGACUCUUAAACUGUUUUAUGACAAAAAGUUGCUGUCCAAGAAAUGGUAGGGGCUGUUUUGGAAACUUAAAUUGUGAAAUAAAUUCUGGCCUUUUGGGAAAUGAAAAUAUAUGGUAUUAAGUACCUCGUGUCCAAAAAUGAGCUAAUUCCGGCUUAAAACGACCAAGUUAUGACCAUUUCAAUUUUUGUGAUUUUCCGACGGAAAUCGCUAUAACCGGAGUUCUACAACUCUGAUUGCCACGAAAUUUAAAAUGGAGCAUCACGUUAACAUAUAUAAGGUUAUGUCAAAAGAUGGGCAUCUCUGGAGUUAAGCACGAGGUAGCUAAUUUUCUUAAGUCACGCACUAAUUCUGAUUUUUGAAAAAUAGAAUUAAUGCUUUAAAAAUCAUAUAAAAAUGAUUUAUGUGUUAUAAAAAUAUUCUAAGUUAUAAACUAUAACUUUUGAUAUUUUGUCAUGAAAAUAUUAAUAUUUUAUUAUUAAUAUCAAUUAUCGGAUAAUGAUUUUAAGUGUUUAAAAAUCAUAUAAAUGUGAUUUUAAGGUAUUAAAAAUACCGUGAUAUAUUAUACAUUAUAUUAUAAUAUUAUGUAAUGAUUUUCAUUAAUAUUUGAUAUUAAAUAGAUAUUAAUGAUUAAAGAAUUAUGUGGUAUUUAAUUCAUUUAAAUACGUUAUUAAUGAUCGGAAAAUUUAGAUAAAUGAUAUUAAUUAUCUGAAAAAUAUUUCGAGCUUAUGAAAAUCAUUUAGACUGAUAAGAAAAUUAUCUGUGAUAUCGUCAAGUGUUUAGGCAGAGUUUAAUUAAACUUAGACUCCUUAAAUUGUCCGACUAGACCGUCGGGAUGAUAGAAUUGUACCGAUUUCAACUCGGACUGAAAUAGUUUGACUUGAAGCUAUGUCUUAUGUGUAUAAGAGACUGAUAAGAUUAUGUGGUAAUAUGUUUAAGUUAUUUUAUAACUGUGAUGAUAUUAUUCUAAUACUGGAGAUCUAUAUUAUUAAUAUUAGGUCUUCGGGAGAAGCUUAUUAUAUUGUGUUACGGUAAUCAACGGUUCAGGCAAGUUUUUAAGUUUUUCAAGUUCUUUUUACUUAAACUCUUUUAAGAGUGGUUUCAGACAGAUAUGCUUAUGAAUUGUACUCUGUACAUAUUGCAUGUAUUCAUCAGGUAUGAAAGGCUGAUCACCUUCAUUACCAGUCAGUUCAGAUAUAAUUGUUAUGUUCAUUUUCAAUGUUCAUUCAGCUUUGAAAUUUUGUUCAUGCUAAUUCACAACUACAUUGUGAAGGAUAGCCAGCUUAUUAUUCAAACUCUUUCAAUCAUGAUAUAUCUUUACCUUGUUUUUUUUAAACUUGCUGGGCAACUUUCAUGCUCACCCUUGCUAUAUCAUGAUAAAACAUUGCAGAUAAGGCGAAUACGGCCAGAUACAGGAAAAGGAUAAUGCCAAGUUCAGCUUGGGAUAGAAUGUGAAGUUAAGUUGUAAAGUAUGUUGAAGAAUAGUAUUGUCAUGUGCUAGAUAGUUCAUGAUUGUGUAUAAGUGAAGGUUACUCGAUUCUGGGGAAAUGUGUGUAAAGUUUAAUGUAUAAACAAUUUAUGUUUAUAUCUAAAGUAAAAAGUUAUAGAAAUUAGCGAACCGAAUCCGCGGCGAUUUGGGGCCCGGAUUCGGGGACGCUACAUUUAUGCCUUAAGAAACCUUGGGAAGACCUGUAACGAAAUCCAUAGUAAUGCUUUCCCAC
Molecule: long non-coding RNA, 3011 nt
Filed under: Panax ginseng (ginseng)
Lineage: Eukaryota; Viridiplantae; Streptophyta; Magnoliopsida; Apiales; Araliaceae
Description: long non-coding RNA (PGIN_LNC005456)
Source: RNAcentral